GAAUGUGAGGGCGAUCUGGCUCAGAUAUCUGUCAUCCCACUGAUCACCAGAGUUGAUUUGGCUGAUUUGACUGGCUAGGCGGGUGUCCCCUUGUCUCCCUCAAUGCUCCAUGUGCGUCCCUCAGUGGAAAAGGAUGACCACCCCGACAGAGAAGGACCGUUCCUGGGUCAAGUGUAUAUGAGUAGCUGUGCUUCCCUGCCAGAACCUUCAAACAAGCUAUCAAGAUGAAGUUUUAUUUUUUUUCCUGUAAAAGCCAUGAAGUAGGCAGUUUUUAAAGUUAUUAGUGAGUCAGGUUCUUCCUGUCUUUCUGUUUUA
RNAcentral lists this small nuclear RNA (315 nucleotides) under Chinchilla lanigera (long-tailed chinchilla). RNAcentral's name for it is "7SK RNA (ENSCLAG00000022201.1)". It matches the Rfam family "7SK RNA". From Rfam's summary of the family: 7SK was discovered as an abundant small nuclear RNA in the mid-70s but a possible function has only recently been suggested. Two independent studies have found that 7SK RNA binds the CDK9/cyclin T complex (known as elongation factor P-TEFb). P-TEFb activates transcription by phosphorylating the C-terminal domain of RNA polymerase II. The record is from Rfam by way of RNAcentral. Lineage: Eukaryota; Metazoa; Chordata; Mammalia; Rodentia; Chinchillidae.